RNAcentral lists this ribosomal RNA (141 nucleotides) under Allothyrus sp. B613. Its description in RNAcentral is "partial 12S ribosomal RNA". Lineage: Eukaryota; Metazoa; Arthropoda; Arachnida; Holothyrida; Allothyridae. The record is from RNAcentral.
UAAUUUAAGGGUUGUUAAAAUUUUAGUGUAAGUAUAAAUUUUAUGUAAUAAUAUUAAAGAAUAUAAGAGGCAGAAAUUAAAAUUAUUUAUAUAAUAAUAUGAAAUAGUUUUACUUACGGCGAGUUGGCGAACUUGUGCCAC